Molecule: long non-coding RNA, 1401 nt
Filed under: Daucus carota (carrot)
Lineage: Eukaryota; Viridiplantae; Streptophyta; Magnoliopsida; Apiales; Apiaceae
Description: long non-coding RNA (DCAR_LNC002065)
Source: RNAcentral
CCCUUUUCUAUUUCACAACCCAGCAGAAAAGAUAACAACAAAUCAGAGCAACUAAUUAACUUAAAGUAACAUAAAACUUAAGAACCGAGGUCAUAAAUUUGAUGGCAGAAGCAACUAAUAAGUUGAUCAAAGCUAACUAAACAAAAGCAAUUAAAACUAAACAAAGUAGCUACUAUGUUAAGUAGAUGAUUGAGAACUCUAACACUACACAUGCAAAUGAUUGAGAAAAACAUAUUUUGUGGACUCGGUUACUUCACCUUAUCAAGAACUGGAAAGAAGCACAUGAGUGAAUCAAGAGCACGUCCAGGAGUGAUGAGAGCCUUUGGCAAAAUAGCAGCACCUUAUAUCUUAUAUGAUUCAGAGAGUGUGAGUUGAGUUUGAGUACUUAUGUUGUGUUUGGUUGGGGUGAAUGAUUUCGGAAGGAAUGGAAUGAAAAAUGAACUAUCUUAUGAAUGAUUUUUAAGAAAUUUCAUUCCUUCCUCCAUUCCAUUCCCUACAUCAUAUGCUACAUAUCACCUCUUCCAUUUGAGAUGGAAUGCUCCAUUCACUCCCAUCCUCAAUUUCUUCUCAAACCUCAUCAUAGCAAUUUUGCACUCNAAAAAUGACAAUCUUUUAUGUUGAUAUAUAACCACGCAUAUGUACAAAUCGAUACCUCUACAGGUAAUUGUAAUGUGAGAUUAGUGUAAAUUAAUAAUCUAAGAGACUAAGAUAAACUAAAUAGUAAUAAAAUUAAAUGAUUAAUACAAACUUCUUGCAUAGUUCUUGUUGCCACUUGCCAGUACUAAACAAUAUGUAAUAUAACUAUAUCAAAUUUAUAACAGAUUGUAUGCUGUCUGGUAAAUUUUUGUUGCCUCUCAGCGUGUUUUUUCCUCUUCCUAUCCAAGUAGCUAUAGUUAUUGGUCCACAAGUAUGAACAACAUUUGAAAGUCCUACAUACCAAUUUUUCAAAACAGUAUAUAAGGAUGAAUACGAACAGUUACAAAUAACAUUUAUUAAUUAAAGCUCCCACUUUUGAUUUAAAUACCCAAAAAUAUAACAAAUAAAUUUAAAUAUUGGGGUGGAAGGGCUCGAAAUCGAGAUCUCUCCCUGAACCUUGUUAAGUUACCAACAAACUCAAAUUCUAGGAAUAGAUAAUAAUCAAUUGAUUCAACAAAUCCCCUUUUCUAUUUCACAACCCAGCAGAAAAGAUAACAACAAAUCAGAGCAACUAAUUAACUUAAAGUAACAUAAAACUUAAGAACCGAGGUCAUAAAUUUGAUGGCAGAAGCAACUAAUAAGUUGAUCAAAGCUAACUAAACAAAAGCAAUUAAAACUAAACAAAGUAGCUACUAUGUUAAGUAGAUGAUUGAGAACUCUAACACUACACAUGCAAAUGAUUGAGAAAAACAUAUUUUGUGGACU